GGGUGUACAUCUCAGUGGUACAGUAGGUGCCUAGCAUGUGUGAGGCCCUGGGUUCAAACCCCAGUUACACCCC
This 73-nucleotide transfer RNA is filed under the name Marmota monax (woodchuck). Its description in RNAcentral is "tRNA.Ala". Lineage: Eukaryota; Metazoa; Chordata; Mammalia; Rodentia; Sciuridae. The record is from RNAcentral.